Molecule: ribosomal RNA, 205 nt
Filed under: Aurantiochytrium limacinum
Lineage: Eukaryota; Bigyra; Thraustochytrida; Thraustochytriidae
Description: partial Bacterial large subunit ribosomal RNA
Rfam family: Bacterial large subunit ribosomal RNA
Source: RNAcentral
GGUAGGCGAAGGCGCAGCGAAAGCGAGUCUGAACAGGGCGUUUCAGUUCGUGGCUCUAGACCCGAAACCAGGUGAUCUAGCCAUGCGCAGGAUGAAGGUGCGGUAACACGCACUGGAGGUCCGAACCAGUGCCCGUUGAAAAGGUCUUGGAUGACGUGUGGUUAGGGGUGAAAGGCCAAUCAAACCCGGAGAUAGCUGGUUCUCC